This 1489-nucleotide ribosomal RNA is filed under the name Lactiplantibacillus argentoratensis. RNAcentral describes it as "bacterial SSU rRNA". It matches the Rfam family "Bacterial small subunit ribosomal RNA". The record is from RNAcentral. Lineage: Bacteria; Bacillati; Bacillota; Bacilli; Lactobacillales; Lactobacillaceae.
GACGAACGCUGGCGGCGUGCCUAAUACAUGCAAGUCGAACGAACUCUGGUAUUGAUUGGUGCUUGCAUCAUGAUUUACAUUUGAGUGAGUGGCGAACUGGUGAGUAACACGUGGGAAACCUGCCCAGAAGCGGGGGAUAACACCUGGAAACAGAUGCUAAUACCGCAUAACAACUUGGACCGCAUGGUCCGAGCUUGAAAGAUGGCUUCGGCUAUCACUUUUGGAUGGUCCCGCGGCGUAUUAGCUAGAUGGUGGGGUAACGGCUCACCAUGGCAAUGAUACGUAGCCGACCUGAGAGGGUAAUCGGCCACAUUGGGACUGAGACACGGCCCAAACUCCUACGGGAGGCAGCAGUAGGGAAUCUUCCACAAUGGACGAAAGUCUGAUGGAGCAACGCCGCGUGAGUGAAGAAGGGUUUCGGCUCGUAAAACUCUGUUGUUAAAGAAGAACAUAUCUGAGAGUAACUGUUCAGGUAUUGACGGUAUUUAACCAGAAAGCCACGGCUAACUACGUGCCAGCAGCCGCGGUAAUACGUAGGUGGCAAGCGUUGUCCGGAUUUAUUGGGCGUAAAGCGAGCGCAGGCGGUUUUUUAAGUCUGAUGUGAAAGCCUUCGGCUCAACCGAAGAAGUGCAUCGGAAACUGGGAAACUUGAGUGCAGAAGAGGACAGUGGAACUCCAUGUGUAGCGGUGAAAUGCGUAGAUAUAUGAAAGAACACCAGUGGCGAAGGCGGCUGUCUGGUCUGUAACUGACGCUGAGGCUCGAAAGUAUGGGUAGCAAACAGGAUUAGAUACCCUGGUAGUCCAUACCGUAAACGAUGAAUGCUAAGUGUUGGAGGGUUUCCGCCCUUCAGUGCUGCAGCUAACGCAUUAAGCAUUCCGCCUGGGGAGUACGGCCGCAAGGCUGAAACUCAAAGGAAUUGACGGGGGCCCGCACAAGCGGUGGAGCAUGUGGUUUAAUUCGAAGCUACGCGAAGAACCUUACCAGGUCUUGACAUACUAUGCAAAUCUAAGAGAUUAGACGUUCCCUUCGGGGACAUGGAUACAGGUGGUGCAUGGUUGUCGUCAGCUCGUGUCGUGAGAUGUUGGGUUAAGUCCCGCAACGAGCGCAACCCUUAUUAUCAGUUGCCAGCAUUAAGUUGGGCACUCUGGUGAGACUGCCGGUGACAAACCGGAGGAAGGUGGGGAUGACGUCAAAUCAUCAUGCCCCUUAUGACCUGGGCUACACACGUGCUACAAUGGAUGGUACAACGAGUUGCGAACUCGCGAGAGUAAGCUAAUCUCUUAAAGCCAUUCUCAGUUCGGAUUGUAGGCUGCAACUCGCCUACAUGAAGUCGGAAUCGCUAGUAAUCGCGGAUCAGCAUGCCGCGGUGAAUACGUUCCCGGGCCUUGUACACACCGCCCGUCACACCAUGAGAGUUUGUAACACCCAAAGUCGGUGGGGUAACCUUUUAGGAACCAGCCGCCUAAGGUGGGACAGAUGAUUAGGGUG